GGGGCCGAAAGACGAGGCAGGCCCUCUAGGCUGCUGGGGAGACCGGAAAGGGGGCCUGGACCUUCCGGUCCCCCUGGGCCGCAGCCCCAGAGUAUGGCUGACCUGGCGCGCACGCGGCACCACCUCAGCGCUGUGAGGCAGGAUGGGGACACAGGGAGGGAAGAGGGGGCCAGACGGCAAGAGCGAGCUCUAGACUACCGGGAAACUAGACCCUGACCUAGGCGUAACUGGGAGGCUAUCCCUCGGUCCUUGGCCGACCUGCGGCGCAGACAGCUCAGCCCAGCGCCGCUCGCGGCAGGGGCGGGGCCGCUGAGCUGGCCCGCUGAGCUGGCCCGAGCGGAUUUGCCCAGGCUCGGCCGGGGGGUGGGGUCUGCCCCUCCCAGCGACGACUAGUCACGCCCCCGUAUCCACCGCCCCUGGGCCCCGCAGGAAAUAGGGGCGGGCCCCGGCCUACAGUGGCGGGAGGGGGAGCAGGGAUGCAGCGGAGGGCCAAGUCCGGGAGGGCUUGGCUGCGGGGGAAUGAAGCCUCCGCCUUCUCGGGUGGAAACCCUUAAAUACAGGCUCGGGCCCGGGACUCGGGGUGCGGCGCUUGGCAGCCCGAGAGGGGUGUGCGGUGAGGGGAGAUCAGACGGAGCAGGGCCAGAGUGCUGGAGCUGCGGCUGCGCGGCCCAGAGCGAGGAGCUGUCCGAGCGGUCGGGGUUGGAGCGAUUACCGCUCUCUGUGCCUGGAAGUGGUACCAUCAUGUUUGAAAUUAAGAAGAUCUGCUGCAUCGGUGCAGGCUAUGUUGGAGGACCCACAUGUAGUGUCAUUGCUCAUAUGUGCCCUGAAAUCAGGGUAACAGUUGUUGAUGUCAAUGAAUCAAGAAUCAAUGCAUGGAACUCUCCUACACUUCCUAUUUAUGAGCCAGGACUAAAAGAAGUGGUAGAAUCCUGUCGAGGAAAAAAUCUAUUUUUUUCUACCAAUAUUGAUGAUGCCAUUAAAGAAGCUGAUCUUGUAUUUAUUUCUGUGAACACUCCAACUAAGACCUACGGAAUGGGGAAAGGCCGUGCAGCAGAUCUGAAGUACAUUGAAGCUUGUGCUAGACGCAUUGUGCAAAACUCAUACGGGUACAAAAUUGUGACUGAGAAAAGCACAGUCCCAGUGCGGGCAGCAGAGAGUAUUCGUCGAAUAUUUGAUGCAAACACAAAACCUAACUUGAAUUUACAGGUGCUGUCCAACCCUGAGUUCUUGGCAGAAGGAACGGCCAUCAAGGACCUGAAGAACCCAGACAGAGUACUGAUUGGAGGGGAUGAAACCCCAGAGGGUCAGAGAGCUGUGCAGGCACUGUGUGCUGUGUAUGAGCACUGGGUUCCCAGAGAAAAGAUCCUCACCACUAAUACUUGGUCUUCAGAACUUUCUAAACUGGCAGCAAAUGCUUUUCUAGCACAGAGAAUCAGUAGCAUUAACUCUAUAAGUGCCCUCUGUGAAGCAACAGGAGCUGAUAUAGAAGAGGUGGCAACAGCCAUUGGAAUGGACCAGAGAAUUGGAAAUAAGUUUCUGAAAGCCAGUGUUGGUUUUGGUGGGAGUUGCUUUCAAAAGGAUGUUCUGAAUUUGGUUUAUCUCUGUGAGGCUCUAAAUUUGCCCGAAGUAGCUCGUUAUUGGCAGCAGGUCAUAGACAUGAAUGACUACCAGAGAAGGAGGUUUGCUUCCCGGAUUAUAGACAGUCUGUUUAAUACAGUGACUGAUAAGAAGAUAGCUAUUUUGGGGUUUGCAUUCAAAAAGGACACCGGUGAUACGAGAGAGUCGUCUAGUAUAUAUAUUAGCAAAUAUUUGAUGGAUGAAGGCGCACACCUCCAUAUAUAUGAUCCAAAAGUACCAAGGGAACAAAUAGUUGUGGAUCUUUCUCAUCCAGGAGUUUCAGAGGAUGACCAAGUGGCCCGGCUGGUGACCAUUUCCAAGGACCCCUAUGAAGCAUGUGAUGGUGCCCAUGCUGUUGUGAUUUGCACUGAAUGGGACAUGUUUAAGGAACUGGACUAUGAACGCAUUCAUAAAAAAAUGCUGAAGCCAGCCUUUAUCUUUGAUGGACGACGUGUCCUGGAUGGGCUCCACAAUGAACUACAAACCAUUGGCUUCCAGAUUGAAACAAUUGGCAAAAAGGUGUCUUCAAAGAGAAUUCCAUAUGCACCUUCUGGUGAAAUUCCAAAGUUUAGUCUUCAGGAUCUACCCAACAAGAAACCCAGAGUAUAGACAUUGCCAUUUUUAUUUGUAAUUUUUUUGGUACUUCAGGAUAGCAAAUAUCUAUCUGAUAUUAAAUGGUAGAUGAAUCAAGUGCUUUUAAGGAAACAAAACUAUUUUUUUAAUAAUCAAAUUUAUACUAGCUGUAUGGGAAUUAGCAUAUCUGGUAAUUAUGAAACUAGAAUAUUUUUUACGUAUUUUUAUAAUAUUGUUACCUCAGUGAUUGGAUGCAUAGCAAAUAAUUGUGUUGGUUUUAAUGGUGUCAAUUUUUGUAAAAUUAAACUUCAAACACUUUUUACUUUAUAAAAUGUCUUUAGGCAGCACUUGAAUAUCACAUUGUAAUGGGAAUGGCAUGCUUCAGUUUUUCUGAUCAUUGGUUUAUCUACUUGUCCUUAAGUAUGUAUUUUAAACCAUGAAAUGACUAUGCUAAAUAUUGGGCUAAACCUGUUAACCUUUCCAAAAGUGUCAUGGAAGUUUAGAGCUUUCUGGGUUAAUUGGGUAAGAUGUUUUCCAUGCCAUUUCUUGUCUCUCUGAACUGAGGAGCAUGCAAUGGACAGAAUGUGGCCUUUGAGCUUUUUUUUUCCUAUGCUUCCAUGUUAGAAGUAACCCUACAAGUAUGGUUUGGUUAUUGUUCUUUUGUUCCUUUUGUUUUAAUGAGCUGUGUUGUUGGUUUUCUAGUCCAAAAAGAUCAUCACUGCCCACUUCCAAUCAAUCCAAAUAAGACUAAAAGGCAAUAUUUUUUUUAACAUGAAGAGAAAAUCAGUGUAGUGAAAUGAAAAUCUAUUUCACCCCACUUCUUGUUUUUCCUCACUGAUCACUAUGUUUUUUUAGUCCAAUAUUUGUUACUUUUACUUUGCAUUUUCUUCCUGUAACUCAUUGCAAUUUCUCCCUUUUUCUUUAAGUAAUAAAACCAAUAUAAACUUAAAGAAGUAGAUUUUACAAGUUAUGUAUAGCAUAAUCCUAAAAUAGGGAAUUUUGUGUCUUCAACUACUUUUUUUCUUAUGUCUCUUUGACUUAUAUUUGAUUUUCUCUUGUGUUUAUCAUUAUUGAAAUGUGUCAGAUGUCCAUUUGAUGCUUGUGCUCUGCUGAGCGUAUACAAAUUGAGUUAAACAGUCUCAUCCUUUAGGAAUUUUGCAGUUCAAUAAGGAUACAGAGACAAAGAUGAGGACAGAGACACCUAUAGAGGCUUAUUCCCUGGUGGCCUAGUGGUUAGGAUUCCAGGAUUUCGCUGCCGUGGCCCGGGUUCAAUCCCUGGUUGGGGAACUGAGAGCCCACAAACUGCACAGGGGACGUGGGUUCGAUCCCAUGUCGGGGAACUAAGAUCCCACAUGCCGUGGGGCAACUAAGUCCGCGCCGCAGCUACUGAGCCUGCGCCACAACUAGAGAGCCCGUGUGCUGCAACUACUGAGCCUGCGUGCUCUAGAGCCUGUGCGCCACAACUAGAGAGAGGCCUGCACGCCACAACGAAGAUCCUGCGUGCCGCAACUAAGACCCAAUGCAGCCAAAUAAAUA
Orcinus orca (killer whale) is the source of this 3726-nucleotide RNA transcript. It is a transcript of the gene named UDP-glucose 6-dehydrogenase, with no coding region annotated. The transcript has 14 exons. The record is from RefSeq and is a predicted model, not a curated record. Lineage: Eukaryota; Metazoa; Chordata; Mammalia; Artiodactyla; Delphinidae.